GAUGAAGAACGUAGCGAAAUGCGAUACUUGGUGUGAAUUGCAGAAUCCCGUGAACCAUCGAGUCUUUGAACGCAAGUUGCGCCCGAAGCCAUUAGGCCGAGGGCACGCCUGCCUGGGCGUCACACGUCGUUGCCCCCCCAUCUACUCCUUCGGGAUUGCGGGGGGCGGAUGAUGGCCUCCCGUGCGCCUCGUCGCGCGGUUGGCAUAAAUGCCAAGUCCUCGGCGACGCACGCCACGACAAUCGGUGGUUGCGAAACCUCGGUUGCCCGUCGUGUGCGGUCGUCGCGCAUCGAGGGCUCGAAAAAAUUGCCGGGCUCCGGCUCGGCUUUCAACGCGACCCCAGGUCAGGCGGGGUUACCCGCUGAAUUUAAGCAUAUCAAUAAGCGGGGA
Molecule: unclassified non-coding RNA, 390 nt
Filed under: soil metagenome
Description: partial contains 5.8S ribosomal RNA, internal transcribed spacer 2, and large subunit ribosomal RNA
Rfam family: 5.8S ribosomal RNA (bases 1-122)
Source: RNAcentral